This 519-nucleotide ribosomal RNA is filed under the name uncultured Bacteroidota bacterium. RNAcentral describes it as "bacterial SSU rRNA". It matches the Rfam family "Bacterial small subunit ribosomal RNA", at positions 8 to 522 of the family's 1533-position model. Lineage: Bacteria; Pseudomonadati; Bacteroidota. The record is from RNAcentral.
AGAGUUUGAUCAUGGCUCAGGAUGAACGCUAGCGGCAGGCCUAAUACAUGCAAGUCGAACGGUAACAUGAGUAGCAAUACUUGAUGACGAGUGGCGCACGGGUGCGUAACGCGUAUGCAAUCUACCUUUAACUGGUGAAUAGCCCGAAGAAAUUCGGAUUAAUACACCAUAGUAUAGUUGAGUGGCAUCACUUAACUCUUAAAACUCCGGUGGUUAAAGAUGAGCAUGCGUGACAUUAGCUAGUUGGUGAGGUAACGGCUCACCAAGGCUACGAUGUCUAGGGGAUCUGAGAGGAUUAACCCCCACACUGGUACUGAGACAGGGACCAGACUCCUACGGGAGGCAGCAGUAAGGAAUAUUGGACAAUGGUCGCAAGACUGAUCCAGCCAUGCCGCGUGAAGGAUGACGGCCCUAUGGGUUGUAAACUUCUUUUGUAUGGGAAAAAACCCCUCUACGUGUAGAGGGCUGAUUGUACCAUAAGAAUAAGGAUCGGCUAACUCCGUGCCAGCAGCCGCGGUA